GCAUAUCAAUAAGCGGAGGAAAAGAAACUAACAAGGAUUCCCCUAGUAACUGCGAGUGAAGCGGGAAAAGCUCAAAUUUAAAAUCUGGCAGUCUUUGGCUGUCCGAGUUGUAGUCUGGAGAAGUGCUUUCCGCGCUGGACCGUGUACAAGUCUCUUGGAAUAGAGCGUCAUAGAGGGUGAGAAUCCCGUCUUUGACACGGACUACCAGUGCUUUGUGAUGCGCUCUCAAAGAGUCGAGUUGUUUGGGAAUGCAGCUCAAAAUGGGUGGUAAAUUCCAUCUAAAGCUAAAUAUUGGCGAGAGACCGAUAGCGAACAAGUACCGUGAGGGAAAGAUGAAAAGCACUUUGGAAAGAGAGUUAAACAGUACGUGAAAUUGCUGAAAGGGAAACGCUUGAAGUCAGUCACGUUGGUCAGAACUCAGCCUGGCUUUUUUUGCUUGGUGCAUUUUCUGAUUAACGGGCCAGCAUCAAUUUUGACCAUUGGAAAAAUUCUUUGGGAAUGUGGCUCCUCCGGGAGUGUUAUAGCCCAGGGUUGUAUACAGUGGUUGGGAUUGAGGAACUCAGCACGCCUUCAUGGUCGGGGUUCGCCCACGCUCGUGCUUAGGAUGCUGGCGUAAUGGCUUUAAACGACCCGUCUUGAAACACGGACCAAGGAGUCUAACAUGCCUGCGAGUGUUUGGGUGGAAAACCCGAGCGCGCAAUGAAAGUGAAAGUUGGGAUCUCUGUCGUGGAGAGCACCGACGCCCAUACCAGACCUUCUGUGACGGAUAUGCGGUUGAGCAUGUAUGUUGGGACCCGAAAGAUGGUGAACUAUGCCUGAAUAGGGUGAAGCCAGAGGAAACUCUGGUGGAGGCUCGUAGCGAUUCUGACGUGCAAAUCGAUCGUCAAAUUUGGGUAUAGGGGCGAAAGACUAAUCGAACCAUCUAGUAGCUGGUUCCUGCCGAA
This 944-nucleotide ribosomal RNA is filed under the name Podoscypha multizonata. RNAcentral's name for it is "LSU rRNA". It matches the Rfam family "Eukaryotic large subunit ribosomal RNA", at positions 38 to 965 of the family's 3401-position model. Lineage: Eukaryota; Fungi; Basidiomycota; Agaricomycetes; Polyporales; Podoscyphaceae. The record is from RNAcentral.